UACGUAGGGGGCAAGCGUUGUCCGGAUUUAUUGGGCGUAAAGGGCUUGUAGGUGGCCACGCCAAGUCGGAUGUGAAAUCUCCCGGCUCAACUGGGAGGGGUCAUUCGAUACUGGGAGUCUCGAGUCCGGGAGAGGUGAGUGGAACUGCGAGUGUAGAGGUGAAAUUCGUAGAUAUUCGCAAGAACACCAGUGGCGAAGGCGGCUCACUGGCCCGGUACUGACGCUGAGGUGCGAAAGCGUGGGGAGCAAACAGG
RNAcentral lists this ribosomal RNA (254 nucleotides) under uncultured bacterium. RNAcentral's name for it is "partial 16S ribosomal RNA". It matches the Rfam family "Bacterial small subunit ribosomal RNA", at positions 524 to 776 of the family's 1533-position model. The record is from RNAcentral.